Molecule: ribosomal RNA, 456 nt
Filed under: uncultured organism
Description: partial 16S ribosomal RNA
Rfam family: Bacterial small subunit ribosomal RNA
Source: RNAcentral
ACACUCCUGCGGGAGGCAGCAGUGGGGAAUAUUGCACAAUGGGCGCAAGCCUGAUGCAGCGACGCCGCGUGGGGGAUGAAGGCCUUCGGGUUGUAAACUCCUUUCGCUAGGGACGAAGCUUUUUUGUGACGGUACCUAGAUAAGAAGCACCGGCUAACUACGUGCCAGCAGCCGCGGUAAUACGUAGGGUGCGAGCGUUGUCCGGAAUUACUGGGCGUAAAGGGCUCGUAGGUGGUUUGUCGCGUCGUCUGUGAAAUUCUGGGGCUUAACUCCGGGCGUGCAGGCGAUACGGGCAUAACUUGAGUGCUGUAGGGGUAACUGGAAUUCCUGGUGUAGCGGUGAAAUGCGCAGAUAUCAGGAGGAACACCGAUGGCGAAGGCAGGUUACUGGGCAGUUACUGACGCUGAGGAGCGAAAGCAUGGGUAGCGAACAGGAUUAGAUACCCGUGUAGUCCCA